GGUUCAGUUAGGGGCGUAACAGAAGUUAUAGAUUGAGGGAGUUAACUUUUUGAAUUCAAUUUUCAACUCUUCCUUCCAUAUUUCAUUUUCAUGCAAAUCGGGUCGGGUCAACCACAUGGGCGACCCCUUUUCUUCCAACAUGGGCAAUUGUACGAAAAUGUCAUUUCCUUUUUCCUCUUUCCACGUUUCUAUAAAGUCAAAGCAAGAACUUUAGGGUCAAGGAUUUUGAUCAAGAAUUAGUGUGCUGC
Molecule: long non-coding RNA, 248 nt
Filed under: Olea europaea (common olive)
Lineage: Eukaryota; Viridiplantae; Streptophyta; Magnoliopsida; Lamiales; Oleaceae
Description: long non-coding RNA (OEUR_LNC006059)
Source: RNAcentral